This is a long non-coding RNA of Callorhinus ursinus (northern fur seal), 1081 nucleotides long. RefSeq lists it as uncharacterized. The record is from RefSeq and is a predicted model, not a curated record. NCBI's taxonomy places the organism in Eukaryota, Metazoa, Chordata, Mammalia, Carnivora, Otariidae.
UCCCCUGGCAACCAGCCCUCCUCCUUAGGGGCUUCCCAAAAGUCACCCCCCACACACAAACUCAGAAAUCUUACAGAAUGAAAAUAAACAUCAGCUUCAAGGCAGAAUAGAAAAGAGGGCCAACUAAGGAAAACAGCCUUGAACAAACAGACACCUGCCUAUAUGAUCUACCUGAUGCUCCUCACAGUUAACACUGCUACUGCCUUUCCCCCUCUUCGCUAGGUGCAAGGAAACCAGCUCAAAACAGGGAUUCACCUUCAAGGCACAGAAGGACCUCACAGACUGGAAAUCAUGGCUCCUGUCUCCUACCCCCAUUCUCCUCUCAGAGCUGUGUGGUUCUCUGGUGUUUCUCACAGGCCAAAUUAAACAUUCUACUGUUACCAAUAAAAGAAAACUACAUGGCUAUCAUCACCUGGGGAUAUCUCACACCACCACCCUAAAAGGAAAUGCAAAGUUACAUCAGUGACUUACCAGCUGGCUGUGUUUGUGCUAUUCUCUUUGGGACCACUUGGUAUGAUUUUACCCUGAACCCUGCUGUGGCACAAUCCACCAUUUAUUAUGCUCACCUCACCUGUACCAGAUCAAGUGCCCAGGAAGAUUUAGAGCUAGCCUAAAAGCCCACGCAAAGUGCUGCUUCUUAAAGAGUCUGAGAAUGCAAGAAGGUGUGCUCUCCUUGGGAAUGGACUAACUUUCAAGUAAUCUUCCUGAGCAAUUGUGCAAUUCUGUUUGCUGGAUUUCAGUGAACAUUCAUCUUACUGAAAAAUUAUUCCACAGCUGCUGAAUUUGAGCGAAUGAAUGACCCUGACUUCCACAGGAAAAUAUCAUUCAGGUACAGGAAAAAUGCAUUUCUGUAUGUUUGGUUUGAUUCAUCACAAAAAGAGCCAUGUAUGGGAGGAAAAAGGACUUUUAAUGGCUCAAAUCUUAUUCCUCCUACAUUUACAGGAUAAAUAUUAGUAAAUCUCUCCCCAAAAGAGAUGAGACUCAUAAAGCAAAAUCACCUCCUACGUGCUUCUGGGCAAGUUUCCCAUAGUGAUUACCCCAAUUACCUUUAUUAGAAAUAAAAAGAUGCGUGAAAUACUCA